CUCAGACUGGGCUCCGCUGCCUCCCCUUGCACCGGACGUGGACCCAGGCUGCCGUUGGGCAAGAUAGAGGACUGAGCCAAGGCACAAACUGCUGGCCAGGUCAGUGAAGGGUCUGUGCUGGGCACCUUGGUGCUCAGGAACAUGGGAACAAUUCUAAACUCAGAAGGACAGAGAGACUCUGCCUGGAAGCAAGGAUUCCAGGGAGACGCCUUGCCCAGAACUGGGGGACUGUGUGCUGAGUAGACCCCUGGAGGCAAUGUGGGGCUGUGGGGUACUCUUCAGAGAAGGGAGCAGGCUGCUUAUGUACGUUUGGAGGGCCAGGUUCAAGGACUCUGCAUCCAUCCAGGACAAUAGCAUCAAGAGAAGAACAGACAGAGCAGAAGGAGGUGGGGUUCCCACCCCCACUCAGCCUUCUCUCUGCAUGGAUGCUGGAGGACCAGGCCCACCUGAAUUUCUGAGCUUGAGCAGUAAGGUGGAAACAAAGAAACCAAUGGAAACAAAGAAGCAAG
Long non-coding RNA from Camelus dromedarius (Arabian camel), 509 nucleotides. RefSeq lists it as uncharacterized. The transcript has 4 exons. The record is from RefSeq and is a predicted model, not a curated record. NCBI's taxonomy places the organism in Eukaryota, Metazoa, Chordata, Mammalia, Artiodactyla, Camelidae.